This 331-nucleotide unclassified non-coding RNA is filed under the name soil metagenome. Its description in RNAcentral is "partial contains 5.8S ribosomal RNA, internal transcribed spacer 2, and large subunit ribosomal RNA". The stretch from base 1 to 120 matches the Rfam family "5.8S ribosomal RNA", at positions 35 to 154 of the family's 154-position model. The record is from RNAcentral.
GAUGAAGAACGCAGCGAAAUGCGAUAAGUAAUGUGAAUUGCAGAAUUCAGUGAAUCAUCGAAUCUUUGAACGCACAUUGCGCCCCCUGGUAUUCCGGGGGGCAUGCCUGUUCGAGCGUCAUUUCACCACUCAAGCCUCGCUUGGUAUUGGGCAACGCGGUCCGCCGCGUGCCUCAAAUCGACCGGCUGGGUCUUCUGUCCCCUAAGCGUUGUGGAAACUAUUCGCUAAAGGGUGUUCGGGAGGCUACGCCGUAAAACAACCCCAUUUCUAAGGUUGACCGCGGAUCAGGUAGGGAUACCCGCUGAACUUAAGCAUAUCAAUAAGCGGAGGA